ACGUAGGGGGCGAGCGUUGUCCGGAUUCAUUGGGCGUAAAGAGCUCGUAGGCGGUUCGAUAAGUCGGCGGUGAAAGCCCGGGACCUAACUCCGGAAGGUCCGUCGAUACUGUCGGACUUGAGUCUGGUAGGGGAGUGCGGAAUUCCUGGUGUAGCGGUGAAAUGCGCAGAUAUCAGGAGGAACACCGGUGGCGAAGGCGGCACUCUGGGCCAGUACUGACGCUAAGACGCGACAGCACGGGGAGCGAACGG
This 251-nucleotide ribosomal RNA is filed under the name uncultured prokaryote. RNAcentral's name for it is "partial 16S ribosomal RNA". It matches the Rfam family "Bacterial small subunit ribosomal RNA", at positions 525 to 775 of the family's 1533-position model. The record is from RNAcentral.